This is a ribosomal RNA of 281 nucleotides. The stretch from base 99 to 281 matches the Rfam family "Eukaryotic small subunit ribosomal RNA", at positions 737 to 919 of the family's 1831-position model.
CUGGGGUUCGGGUCGGUGGUUUGCCGCUUCGUGUGGCUACUGCCGUGCUCGACUCUUACUAGCUGGUGCGUCUUGCGGUGCUCUUCAUCGAGUGCCACAGGAGCCUGGCAUGUUUACUUUGAAAAAAUUAGAGUGCUCAAAGCAGGCGGUUCCGCCUGAAUAGUGUUGCAUGGAAUAAUGGAAUAGGACCUCGGUUCUAUUUUGUUGGUUUUCGGAACUUGAGGUAAUGAUUAAGAGGGACGGUCGGGGGCAUUCGUAUUUCGGUGUUAGAGGUGAAAUUC